Molecule: long non-coding RNA, 1763 nt
Filed under: Vitis vinifera (wine grape)
Lineage: Eukaryota; Viridiplantae; Streptophyta; Magnoliopsida; Vitales; Vitaceae
Description: long non-coding RNA (VVIN_LNC004927)
Source: RNAcentral
UCCAAAACUCAACUUUGAUCUAACAUAAAAUUUGAAGGAUCAAUAUCCAAAUAACUUCCAAAUCCCAAAAGAUCCAAAUGAACACAACUAACAGUUAAACAAAAUCCAACAUAAAAUCCUAAGUCAAAUCCUAAUGAUGACCAUUCCUCAGCCUAGCCAUCACUCCUCACCCGAAUUAAGGGUACCUGAAAAGUAGUCAACAAAUGGGAAUGAACUCACAACCCAAUAAGGAACAUUAAUGCAGUCCAUGGAUCAAACAUUUCAAACUUACUUGCAAAAUAGGAGAUAUUGUAAUCAAUCAUUUUCAUAAAGCUGUGAGUAAAUUAUUUAUUUAUUUAUUUAUUUAUUUGCCAAUACAUUCAAAAUUUCUAACUGUAUGUGUUUAUUUCUGAUUCAAACAAUUUCAUAUCAAAUUCAGUCAAAACAUUCCAAUAAUUUAUUUACUCUGGUCAUCAAACAUCAAAGGGUGCUCAGUUAGGUGGGACUUUUCAAAUGGGUGGCUAGCCUCAAAUUGUUCCUUUAAGGUGGACGGAACCAAACACUACUAGUACUAGUAACCUCUAACCGAAACCCCUAGAGGCUGGGGUUCAAAUCAAUUACAUUCCCCACCAAAAAAUGUAAAGGUCAACUAUUAUAUCUCAUUGACAAGGGCCAAAAGUCAACUAUUAUAUCCCAUUGACAAGGGUCAAACAAACCAGAGUCAAAUAUUUAUUUCAUUUAUUCAAAUUUACAACAUAUAAUAUCUCCACAUUUAUUUGUCAAAAACAUAAUAUAAAAUUCUAACAUACUUUUCAUGCAAAACAGGUUUGAUCCAUGCAUAAAACAGAAUAUAACUCAAACGUUUUCAAAUAAUGUAUAUAUAUAUAUAUAUAUAUAUAUAUAUAUAUAUAUAUAUAUAUAUAUAUAUAUAUAAAAUUGUUUCAAAAAAAGAAUUUAACAACUGCAUUAAUUUCCCUUAAUUCAAAAGAAAUCCUCAAAAACUUUGGAGAGAAAAUAAUCCUGAAAAUCUACUCUUCACCUAACAAAAUAUAAGAGGAAUAACUAUUACCAUUUAUCUAUAAUUUAACUAAUCUAUUCCUUAUUUAAAUAAAUUAACAAAUUCCCAAUUUGUUUCUAAUAACACAAAGCCUUGCCAUUAUUAAAUAAUACAGUACUCAGUACUCAAGUACCCAUCAAAGUUUAACAAUACGGAGUCCUGUUACUAUUAAAUAUUACAUACCUAAGUAUCCAUCAAAGUCUAAUAAUAGAGUAUGUGAAAAUCCACCAACUAGAUUUCAACCAUGAAAUCCUUACAAAAAAAAAAGUGGAUGCAUAGUUCCCACACGCAUGCAACUAAUGCACACACGUUUUUUUCUUCUUCUAAAAAACCUUAAGAUCUCCCCAAUUCCAACAAUAAAUCAAAAUCUUAAAUUUUCACUAUUUGAUAUUAAAACGAAUAAAACAAUAAUAGUAAACUAACCCUAAUCUAAAUCGAAAUCUUCACAGGAAUCUUUUUUUUUUUUCUAAAAAACCUUAAGAUCUCCCCAAUUCCAACAAUAAAUCAAAAUCUUAAAUUUUCACUAUUUGAUAUUAAAACGAAUAAAAAAAAUAAUAGUAAACUAACCCUAAUCUAGAUUUGGGUUUUCCAAAAAAAAAAAUCUAAUGUGCUUGAAAUUAACUAAUGAAUCUAAAAUAAUAAUCUAGGAGUUAGAAUCUUACCUAUAGAGGUUUGUUCUUCAAACCUUGAAGUCUGACCUCAACUUCAUGUUCUCUGGAAACUCUCU